CUGCUAAUACCGCAUAAGCGCACAGUUCCGCAUGGAACAGUGUGAAAAACUCCGGUGGUGUGAGAUGGACCCGCGUCUGAUUAGCCAGUUGGCGGGGUAACGGCCCACCAAAGCGACGAUCAGUAGCCGGCCUGAGAGGGUGAACGGCCACAUUGGGACUGAGACACGGCCCAAACUCCUACGGGAGGCAGCAUG
Molecule: ribosomal RNA, 195 nt
Filed under: uncultured bacterium
Lineage: Bacteria
Description: partial 16S ribosomal RNA
Rfam family: Bacterial small subunit ribosomal RNA
Source: RNAcentral